RNAcentral lists this ribosomal RNA (444 nucleotides) under Carinosquilla multicarinata. Its description in RNAcentral is "partial 16S ribosomal RNA". It matches the Rfam family "Bacterial large subunit ribosomal RNA", at positions 1923 to 2566 of the family's 2925-position model. Lineage: Eukaryota; Metazoa; Arthropoda; Malacostraca; Stomatopoda; Squillidae. The record is from RNAcentral.
UUAAAGAGCCGCGGUAUUCUGACCGUGCGAAGGUAGCAUAAUAAUUAGUCUCCUAAUUAGAGGCUUGUAUGAAUGGUCGGACAAGAUGGAAACUGUCUCAAUACAAAAAUUAAAAUUUAAUAUUUAAGUAAAAAAGCUUAAAUAAUAUGGAGGGACGAUAAGACCCUAUAAAGCUUUAUAAUAUUUUUCUCCUUUAUAAAUUAUUCGGUUGUUAACUUAUUUAAGAAAUAAUAUUAUUUUACUGGGGCGGUAAAAGUAUAAAAAGAUUAACUGCUUUUGUUUUGUAUAACAAUAUUAGUUGGAAAUAAAUUGAUCCAUUAUUAAUGAUCACAAGACCAAGUUACUUUAGGGAUAACAGCGUAAUUUUUUUUGAGAGUUCUUAUCGAAAAAAAAGUUUGCGACCUCGAUGUUGAAUUAAGGUUACCUUAAGGUGCAGUAGUUUUA